RNAcentral lists this transfer RNA (63 nucleotides) under Oreolalax rhodostigmatus (red-spotted toothed toad). RNAcentral describes it as "tRNA-Cys". It matches the Rfam family "tRNA". From Rfam's summary of the family: Transfer RNA (tRNA) molecules are approximately 80 nucleotides in length. Their secondary structure includes four short double-helical elements and three loops (D, anti-codon, and T loops). Further hydrogen bonds mediate the characteristic L-shaped molecular structure. tRNAs have two regions of fundamental functional importance: the anti-codon, which is responsible for specific mRNA codon recognition, and the 3' end, to which the tRNAs corresponding amino acid is attached (by aminoacyl-tRNA synthetases). tRNAs cope with the degeneracy of the genetic code in two manners: having more than one tRNA (with a specific anti-codon) for a particular amino acid; and 'wobble' base-pairing, i.e. permitting non-standard base-pairing at the 3rd anti-codon position. The record is from RNAcentral. Lineage: Eukaryota; Metazoa; Chordata; Amphibia; Anura; Megophryidae.
GGCCCUGUGGUGAAAUCAUGUCGGAUUGCAAAUCCGGAGAAGCGGGUAAUUCCGCCGAGGCUU